This 2900-nucleotide ribosomal RNA is filed under the name Klebsiella pneumoniae. Its description in RNAcentral is "23S ribosomal RNA". It matches the Rfam family "Bacterial large subunit ribosomal RNA". The record is from RNAcentral. Lineage: Bacteria; Pseudomonadati; Pseudomonadota; Gammaproteobacteria; Enterobacterales; Enterobacteriaceae.
UUAAGCGACUAAGCGUACACGGUGGAUGCCCUGGCAGUCAGAGGCGAUGAAGGACGUGCUAAUCUGCGAAAAGCGUCGGUAAGGUGAUAUGAACCGUUAUAACCGGCGAUGUCCGAAUGGGGAAACCCAGUGCAAUUCGUUGCACUAUCGUUAACUGAAUACAUAGGUUAACGAGGCGAACCGGGGGAACUGAAACAUCUAAGUACCCCGAGGAAAAGAAAUCAACCGAGAUUCCCCCAGUAGCGGCGAGCGAACGGGGAGCAGCCCAGAGUCUGAAUCAGCUUGUGUGUUAGUGGAACGGUCUGGAAAGUCCGACGGUACAGGGUGAUAGUCCCGUACACCAAAAUGCACAGGUUGUGAACUCGAAGAGUAGGGCGGGACACGUGGUAUCCUGUCUGAAUAUGGGGGGACCAUCCUCCAAGGCUAAAUACUCCUGACUGACCGAUAGUGAACCAGUACCGUGAGGGAAAGGCGAAAAGAACCCCGGCGAGGGGAGUGAAAAAGAACCUGAAACCGUGUACGUACAAGCAGUGGGAGCACCUUCGGGUGUGACUGCGUACCUUUUGUAUAAUGGGUCAGCGACUUAUAUUCUGUAGCAAGGUUAACCGUAUAGGGGAGCCGCAGGGAAACCGAGUCUUAACUGGGCGUUAAGUUGCAGGGUAUAGACCCGAAACCCGGUGAUCUAGCCAUGGGCAGGUUGAAGGUUGGGUAACACUAACUGGAGGACCGAACCGACUAAUGUUGAAAAAUUAGCGGAUGACUUGUGGCUGGGGGUGAAAGGCCAAUCAAACCGGGAGAUAGCUGGUUCUCCCCGAAAGCUAUUUAGGUAGCGCCUCGUGAACUCAUCUUCGGGGGUAGAGCACUGUUUCGGCUAGGGGGUCAUCCCGACUUACCAACCCGAUGCAAACUACGAAUACCGAAGAAUGUUAUCACGGGAGACACACGGCGGGUGCUAACGUCCGUCGUGAAGAGGGAAACAACCCAGACCGCCAGCUAAGGUCCCAAAGUCAUGGUUAAGUGGGAAACGAUGUGGGAAGGCACAGACAGCCAGGAUGUUGGCUUAGAAGCAGCCAUCAUUUAAAGAAAGCGUAAUAGCUCACUGGUCGAGUCGGCCUGCGCGGAAGAUGUAACGGGGCUAAACCAUGCACCGAAGCUGCGGCAGCGACACUAUGUGUUGUUGGGUAGGGGAGCGUUCUGUAAGCCUGCGAAGGUGUGCUGUGAGGCAUGCUGGAGGUAUCAGAAGUGCGAAUGCUGACAUAAGUAACGAUAAAGCGGGUGAAAAGCCCGCUCGCCGGAAGACCAAGGGUUCCUGUCCAACGUUAAUCGGGGCAGGGUGAGUCGACCCCUAAGGCGAGGCCGAAAGGCGUAGUCGAUGGGAAACAGGUUAAUAUUCCUGUACUUGGUGUUACUGCGAAGGGGGGACGGAGAAGGCUAUGUUAGCCGGGCGACGGUUGUCCCGGUUUAAGCAUGUAGGCUGGUUGUCCAGGCAAAUCCGGAUAAUCAAGGCUGAGGUGUGAUGACGAGGCACUACGGUGCUGAAGUAACAAAUGCCCUGCUUCCAGGAAAAGCCUCUAAGCAUCAGGUAACAUCAAAUCGUACCCCAAACCGACACAGGUGGUCAGGUAGAGAAUACCAAGGCGCUUGAGAGAACUCGGGUGAAGGAACUAGGCAAAAUGGUGCCGUAACUUCGGGAGAAGGCACGCUGGUGUGUAGGUGAAGUCCCUGCGGAUGGAGCUGAGACCAGUCGAAGAUACCAGCUGGCUGCAACUGUUUAUUAAAAACACAGCACUGUGCAAACACGAAAGUGGACGUAUACGGUGUGACGCCUGCCCGGUGCCGGAAGGUUAAUUGAUGGGGUUAUCCGUAAGGAGAAGCUCUUGAUCGAAGCCCCGGUAAACGGCGGCCGUAACUAUAACGGUCCUAAGGUAGCGAAAUUCCUUGUCGGGUAAGUUCCGACCUGCACGAAUGGCGUAAUGAUGGCCAGGCUGUCUCCACCCGAGACUCAGUGAAAUUGAACUCGCUGUGAAGAUGCAGUGUACCCGCGGCAAGACGGAAAGACCCCGUGAACCUUUACUAUAGCUUGACACUGAACAUUGAGCCUUGAUGUGUAGGAUAGGUGGGAGGCUUUGAAGCGUGGACGCCAGUCUGCGUGGAGCCAACCUUGAAAUACCACCCUUUAAUGUUUGAUGUUCUAACGUUGGCCCCUGACCGGGGUUGCGGACAGUGUCUGGUGGGUAGUUUGACUGGGGCGGUCUCCUCCCAAAGCGUAACGGAGGAGCACGAAGGUUAGCUAAUCCUGGUCGGACAUCAGGAGGUUAGUGCAAUGGCAUAAGCUAGCUUGACUGCGAGCGUGACGGCGCGAGCAGGUGCGAAAGCAGGUCAUAGUGAUCCGGUGGUUCUGAAUGGAAGGGCCAUCGCUCAACGGAUAAAAGGUACUCCGGGGAUAACAGGCUGAUACCGCCCAAGAGUUCAUAUCGACGGCGGUGUUUGGCACCUCGAUGUCGGCUCAUCACAUCCUGGGGCUGAAGUAGGUCCCAAGGGUAUGGCUGUUCGCCAUUUAAAGUGGUACGCGAGCUGGGUUUAGAACGUCGUGAGACAGUUCGGUCCCUAUCUGCCGUGGGCGCUGGAGAAUUGAGGGGGGCUGCUCCUAGUACGAGAGGACCGGAGUGGACGCAUCACUGGUGUUCGGGUUGUCAUGCCAAUGGCACUGCCCGGUAGCUAAAUGCGGAAGAGAUAAGUGCUGAAAGCAUCUAAGCACGAAACUUGCCCCGAGAUGAGUUCUCCCUGAGACUAUAAGUCUCCUGAAGGAACGUUAAAGACGAUGACGUUGAUAGGCCGGGUGUGUAAGCGCAGCGAUGCGUUGAGCUAACCGGUACUAAUGAACCGUGAGGCUUAACCUU